GACGAACGCUGGCGGCGUGCCUAAUACAUGCAAGUCGAGCGGACUUUCAAGAAGCUUGCUUUUUGAAAGUUAGCGGCGGACGGGUGAGUAACACGUGGGCAACCUGCCUGCAAGACGGGGAUAACUCCGGGAAACCGGGGCUAAUACCGGAUAAUAUCUUCCUUCGCAUGAAGGAAGGUUGAAAGGCGGCGCAAGCUGCCGCUUGCAGAUGGUCCCGCGGCGCAUUAGCUAGUUGGUGAGGUAACGGCUCACCAAGGCGACGAUGCGUAGCCGACCUGAGAGGGUGAUCGGCCACACUGGGACUGAGACACGGCCCAGACUCCUACGGGAGGCAGCAGUAGGGAAUCUUCCGCAAUGGACGAAAGUCUGACGGAGCAACGCCGCGUGAGCGAAGAAGGUCUUCGGAUCGUAAAGCUCUGUUGUCAGGGAAGAACAAGUACCGUUCGAACAGGGCGGUACCUUGACGGUACCUGACCAGAAAGCCACGGCUAACUACGUG
Molecule: ribosomal RNA, 499 nt
Filed under: uncultured bacterium
Lineage: Bacteria
Description: partial 16S ribosomal RNA
Rfam family: Bacterial small subunit ribosomal RNA
Source: RNAcentral